GUAAACAUAAAUAGCGUGUCGAAGAUGCAAGAGAGAAGCUCAAACUGCGUUUUAAAUCACCGAACAAUCUUCCGUUCACAGCGUGUAAUUCAGCGGUUUUGAUUCUACCAUUCGGAAGGAGGAAUCGUAAAAUCAGGGAAAAUUGCGGGACACCUUCCUUUCCGGAUUCGCGACCCGGAUAGAAACCGCCUUGUGGAAUUCUUCGAUUGGAUCGCGUUUUGCUGACGGUGGAUUGUGAACAGAAAAAGUCUAUCGAAUCGCAAGAUUUAUUGGCGUUUAUUACUAUACGGUUAGCGGAGUUAAAUUGGCCAAAGGUUCAUAUGACACCCACGAAGAUUGACUUUAAGACCACCGUUAAAACGAAGAGAUUAAAAAGGAGUAUUUUAUGAUUAUUCCUCUGAUUUAUUUUGCACGUGUAACUGGAAAUCGCUGUAAAUCCGAGAAGCAGGCGGAGAUAAAGAAUAUACAAGGUGCGACCGAAUAACAUGUACAAGCGGACACGAGGUGAUUCCUUAUGAAAAAAUAAGAACAAAAUGUGGGAUAAAAUUUUUUCAUUUAAGACUUAGUUUACAAGAAAAUCGAGUUUGAAAAUUUAUCAAGUAUACUUGAACACGAUUAAUUCCAGACUAGACAUUAUAAUUUCUUACACAAGAGAGACUCUAUUUAAGAAUGAAAUCACAACAAAACACCCCUCAAAUUUACACCACUACAGGCUCUAUCAAUUUUCUCGAAAAUACAAAGCAAGGUGUCUAAGAGGUAUCCAGUUUUUGCUGAGGCGGCAAAAGUGUUUGAGCCGAAUGUGUUCACCAGCGAUUCGACUAGGAGACGAGUUGCAUAAAAGCGCAACAUUACACCCUCGGGGAGGCUGUGGGAACGCGGCUUGAAGACUUCAUUAUUUUUGAGGGGAGAAGUGCCCUUUCUCGUUAGGGGAUUCCUCGCCCAGGGCGACGCGAGGCCGUCUUGUUAAAAUUCUCCGAACUCCAUAUAACCCGGACCAGGAACCCGUCUUCCUCUUUACCCGCCACCAUCUUUCUUCCUCCUCCAUCGCUCCUCCGGUUCUCGCGUCUUAUUUCGCGGGCCUCUCAGCUAUUCCGCCGCCGAAGACUAAAAAGCUGACGCCUCAAUUUCGCGAUAGACGUUGCUCGCGAAUCGCGCUGGUAACGAUAAUUGCAGCAGACAAUGGUGGAGAUGGUUGGAACCGAGGAGAAAGACGCGAUUGGAAAUUGUUACGCGUACAUAUACCGAAGAUUUUGCAGAGAAUCAAAGAAUAUUCGUAAUGGGAUUUUCUUAAGAAUUAAGCAUUGGGUGUACAAACGAGU
Bombus pascuorum is the source of this 1319-nucleotide long non-coding RNA. RefSeq lists it as uncharacterized. Lineage: Eukaryota; Metazoa; Arthropoda; Insecta; Hymenoptera; Apidae. The transcript has 4 exons. The record is from RefSeq and is a predicted model, not a curated record.